Equus caballus (horse) is the source of this 755-nucleotide non-coding RNA. The record is from RefSeq and is a predicted model, not a curated record. NCBI's taxonomy places the organism in Eukaryota, Metazoa, Chordata, Mammalia, Perissodactyla, Equidae.
UGAUCGGGUAACAAACAAUAUUUAAACAAUGGGAUUCACUCCUCUACUCUUGGCGGUAGGGGAAAAACGUGUGAGCCAAAGACUAGGGUAACUCAGAGCUUCAUGCCUCCCAGAGGGAAAGUGACCCCCACAGCUUAAUCAAUCCAGGAAGGCUUCAGAGAGGAAACAGGGCUCCAGGAGCUGGGGGAGGGUGGAGAUGUGGGGAGUUCUGACAGCUUUCUGCACGGCGUGGUCCACUCCUGUUUAGUGUGCAGACUGUCUGAGGGCAGGAGAGCUGGCGGGGGCACCCUGCCGGAACCCGCUCCUCCUCUUCCAGCUGGAGCAGAAGGCAAACAAGGCCCUCUGGUUCCUGAAGCAGUGCGAGGCCCUCUUCAACAGCCCGCAGGCGCGCAUCCGCCAGGCGGCAGUGUGGUUUGCAGGCCAGAUCAUCCAGACCCUAGGCACGGAAGACACCAACGAAAUUGAGGAGGCAUACUCAGCCCUGAGGCACAUGCAGGAAGACGGCGACCCCAUGGUCAGCUGCCUCGCCAGGCAGACCUUAUACGUUCUGGAAGCCAAGGAGAAGCAGCUGGUCGACACCCCCACCUCCUGCUUCUGCAGCAGGAGGUCACGAAAGAGCUGGUUCUGAGCCUGCAUCCUUGGGUCCCGGCCAGGACAAACGAGGCUGUGACAGCUGUGACAGUGGGGACAGGCUCCUGGGCCCUGCACUGGAAGUGGCCUUGGUCCCUGCAGAAUCUUUCCAAUAAAAGGAGGAA